Molecule: long non-coding RNA, 359 nt
Organism: Strigops habroptila (Kakapo)
Lineage: Eukaryota; Metazoa; Chordata; Aves; Psittaciformes; Psittacidae
Exons: 3
Source: RefSeq, a predicted model, not a curated record
UGUCCUGGCUUAAUGAAAACCAAGAUGUAAGUGAUUUAACCAUUUCUUCUUACUGCAGUAUUCCUUUGUCAGUAGCUCAAUGUUUCUAUGGUAGUUAACAUAUGCCAUGAAACAUUAAAUUUCCCUCUAUUUUUUCAAGUUAAGAUGACACUGUUACUUUAAUUGAAAUUAUUUCAACUUCAGCUUGUUACAAAGUUAUGGUUUCAACACUUGGUUCAAAACCCAGAAAAUACCUCUGAAUUUAUAUUUUUAUUUCUCAUUUAGUUACUUUGGGAUACAUUUUAAUUUAGUUAUGACUUCUUGGCUACUCUUCUUUACAAUUUACAGCUACAUAAUGGCAAUGCUUGAGCUGCUGUGGC